CCUACGGGGGGCAGCAGUGGGGAAUAUUGGACAAUGGGGGCAACCCUGAUCCAGCCAUGCCGCGUGUGCGAAGAAGGCCCUCGGGUUGUAAAGCACUUUCAGUGAGGAAGAACGCCUGGUGGUUAAUACCCAUCAGGAAAGACAUCACUCACAGAAGAAGCACCGGCUAACUCCGUGCCAGCAGCCGCGGUAAUACGGAGGGUGCGAGCGUUAAUCGGAAUUACUGGGCGUAAAGCGCGCGUAGGUGGCUUGAUAAGCCGGUUGUGAAAGCCCCGGGCUCAACCUGGGAACGGCAUCCGGAACUGUCAAGCUAGAGUGCAGGAGAGGAAGGUAGAAUUCCCGGUGUAGCGGUGAAAUGCGUAGAGAUCGGGAGGAAUACCAGUGGCGAAGGCGGCCUUCUGGACUGACACUGACACUGAGGUGCGAAAGCGUGGGUAGCAAACAGGAUUAGAUACCCCAGUAGUC
RNAcentral lists this ribosomal RNA (465 nucleotides) under Vreelandella stevensii. RNAcentral describes it as "partial 16S ribosomal RNA". It matches the Rfam family "Bacterial small subunit ribosomal RNA", at positions 338 to 795 of the family's 1533-position model. Lineage: Bacteria; Pseudomonadati; Pseudomonadota; Gammaproteobacteria; Oceanospirillales; Halomonadaceae. The record is from RNAcentral.